AGCUGGAUCAUUUCGAGAGUUUACGAACUCCUCAUUGUGGUUACAAACACAAAAAUUGAGCAAAUACAAUACUACUCGGACAAACGUACCACGUGUACUUUGGUCGAGAAUUGAACAACUCAUUACGGUGGAUGUCUCGGCUUCCCAAUCGAUGAAGGACGCGGCAAUAUGCGAUAAAUUCGUAUGAAUUGCAGAAUCAAGCGUAUUAUCAAACCUUUGAACGCAAAAUGCGUGCUGGGUUUUAACUCAAGCACGUCUACGGUUCAGUGCCGAUAACUGUGUUGGGGACAAAUUAGGCCCUUAAACUCUUGGUUUCGUACCAAUUUAUCAUUUCAAGGCCUGAGCUGUAGUCGACCACCCGCUGAACUUAAGCAUAUCAUUAAGCGGAGGAAAAGAAAACAACUGUGAUUCCCUUAGUAGCGGCGAGCGAAGAGGGAAAAGCCCAAGCCGAAUCGGAUCACAUCCGAAUUGUGGAGUAUGAAGUUCUUUGUAUUUCCGUAUGUUGGAAAAGUCUUCCUGGAAUGGAGCGCCCUAGAGGGUGAUAGCCCCGUUUUCCGACCUCUACGCGAAACAACACCUUUGAACUUUCGGAGUAGUACUGCUUGGGAAUGCAGUGCGAAUGGCAGGUAUACCUCUGCCAAGGCUAAAUAUGAUGGGAAGACCGAUAGCGCACAAGUAGCGUGAGCGAAAGAUGAAAAGCACUUUGGAGAGAGAGUGAAAGAGUACCUGAAGCCGUAAUGAGGUAAGGGAUGGACCACUAUCCAAGAACGGUUGAAGAAACGUCCUUUGGGGCUAACUUCUCUUCUGUUCCUGUCUGCCGCUGUUUUAAGGUCUAGCUUGCUGGUUUGGAGCUUGCUCUAUUCGUGGCUUGUACUUGUACUAAGGGACAGUUUUCCUUCGUGAUUGGUGAAACGCUGGGGUUUCCUACGCGGGAACGAGGAUUCCAGAUAGCCGCUUCGGUGGUGAUUCCUGUUUUCUUGAACCUUCGGAAGUGCUCCCGUCUUCUCUUUCAUAGGCAGGCUUUGAGAUGGCCUUUGGCCACGAUGGGGUUCAUCCGCCCGUCUUGAAACACGGACCAAGGAGUCUAACAAGUAUGCGAGUCAUAUACUGAAUGAAAGUAUAAGGCGUACUGAAAGGGAAGCGUACAUACGUGCGUUUGGUGUCAACGGUGCGUCUUUGGACAAUCCGUGCAGCACCGGCCGAGGUCUGGCAAUCGGCUGGAUUUUUGAGCCUGAGCAUACAUGUUGGGACCCGAAAGGUGGUGACCUAUGCCUGAACAGGACGAAGCCGAGGGAAACCUGGGUGGAGGUCCGUAGCGAUGUUGACGUGCAAAUCGCUCGUUAGAUUUGGGUAUAGGGGCGAAAGACUCAUCGAACCACCUAGUAGCUGGUUCACCC
Molecule: unclassified non-coding RNA, 1397 nt
Filed under: uncultured fungus
Lineage: Eukaryota; Fungi
Description: sequence contains 18S rRNA gene, ITS1, 5.8S rRNA gene, ITS2, 28S rRNA gene
Rfam family: Eukaryotic large subunit ribosomal RNA (bases 336-1397)
Source: RNAcentral